RNAcentral lists this ribosomal RNA (369 nucleotides) under uncultured bacterium. RNAcentral describes it as "bacterial SSU rRNA". It matches the Rfam family "Bacterial small subunit ribosomal RNA", at positions 527 to 896 of the family's 1533-position model. The record is from RNAcentral.
AGAGGGUGCAAGCGUUAAUCGGAAUUACUGGGCGUAAAGGGUGCGUAGGUGGUUUGUUAAGUCAGGCGUGAAAUCCCUGGGCUCAACCUGGGAACUGCGUUUGAUACUGGCAGACUCGAGUCUGGUAGAGGGUAGUGGAAUUCCGCAUGUAGCGGUGAAAUGCGUAGAUAUGCGGAGGAACAUCAGUGGCGAAGGCGGCUACCUGGACCAAGACUGACACUGAGGUACGAAAGCGUGGGGAGCAAACAGGAUUAGAUACCCUGGUAGUCCACGCCCUAAACGAUGUCUACUAGUUGUCGGAGGGUAACUCCUUCGGUAACGCAGCUAACGCGUGAAGUAGACCGCCUGGGGAGUACGGUCGCAAGAUUA